CUUUUAUGGAGAGUUUGAUCCUGGCUCAGGACGAACGCUGGCGGCGUGCCUAAUACAUGCAAGUCGAGCGGAGUUUUAAAAGCUUGCU
This 88-nucleotide ribosomal RNA is filed under the name Anaerobacillus arseniciselenatis. Its description in RNAcentral is "partial 16S ribosomal RNA". It matches the Rfam family "Bacterial small subunit ribosomal RNA", at positions 1 to 84 of the family's 1533-position model. Lineage: Bacteria; Bacillati; Bacillota; Bacilli; Caryophanales; Bacillaceae. The record is from RNAcentral.